UGAGGAGGAAGAGGAGCCCAGGGCAGUGAUGAAGGGGCUGAGCCGUCUGCUGCGUGCCGGGGAGGACGCCAUGGUGGGAGCGGGGGCAGCCAGCCAUGAUGGCCUAUUGCCAGAUGAGAGAGAAUUUCAACAUGCUGCUAAAAUGAACAAUUUGGAAACCAUGGAAAAGCUAUUUACCAAGAAUGUUAAUAUAAAUGCUGUAGAUACUCUGAAGCGUACUGCGCUCCAUUUUGCUGUUGCAAGAAGUCAUAUAUCAGUGGUGGAUUUUCUUCUCCAUCACAAAGCUAGACUUGAUAUGGCGGAUCAGCAUGGCCUGACAGUGAUUCAUCUUGCAGCUUGGACUGGAAAUCUGGAUAUAAUGCGAAAAUUGGUUAAAGCAGGCGCGGAUCAAAAGGCUAAGAAUGAGGAAGGAAUGAAUGCAUUGCACUUUGCAGCUCAGAACAACAGCGUUAAAAUAGUUGAUUAUUUUCUCCAAGAUCUUCAUCUGAAUGACUUGAACAAGCCUGAUGGGAAAGGCAAAAAGCCAUUUCUUCUGGCAUCUGAAAAAGGUCAUGUUGACAUGAUAAAUAAUUUGAUUACUCUGAAGCUGUUUACAACUGAAAAAGAUAAGGAUGGAAACACAGCAUUGCAUCUAGCAGCCAAAAAUGGUCACAGUGAAGUUAUAGAAAUUCUGCUGGAGCAGUGGGAGGAAAUAAAUGACCUCAAUGAGAAUGGAGAAACUCCAUUUUACUUGUCUGUUGAAGGAGGUCAUGAAAAAUGCGCUGAACUUUUACUGGAAGCAGGGAGUGACAUCAAUGUUUUAACUCAAAACAAUAGCAGUGCUUUGCAGAUUGCAGUUCAGAAUGGACAUCUCUCCUUGGUUAAUUUUCUUAUUGAUAGGAAUAUUGACCUGGUUCCUAAACCCGAGCAGAAGAAUUCCCCCCUCCAUUUAGCCAUCGUCAAUAAUCAUCUAAUGGUAGUAAGAAGCCUCUUGGAUGCCAAUCAUGACAUAAACUCCUUAAAUCACAGGCAGGAAACCCCUCUGCAUCUGGCAGCUGAUCUUGGCAAUGUGGAGCUGGUGGAAGUGCUGCUGAAGGCACACUGCGAUCUCAAGUCCGUGGAUAAGCAUGGAAAAACUGCACUAGCUGUGGCAUCGAGGAGCAAUCACGCCCUUGUUGUAGACAUGAUCAUUAAAGCACAAAGGUAUUAUGCCAUGAAACAGGAAUGUCUAGCUCAUAGUGAUGACAGGUCAGACUUUGGCUUGUCCUUCAAGCAAGAUCAUAGCACACAGACCAAGCAAAUCCGUUCCUCCCUUUGGUAUCUAGCAUACAACCAGUUAAAACCCCAGGAAUGGAAAAAACUGGCCCUGUUCUGGAAGUUCACAGAUGAACAAAUUAAAGCUAUUGAAGAACAAUGGACAGGUGAGAAAGGAAAUAAGAGUAAAUUAGUAGGUUUUAAAACCUCUUGGAACUCUGAAAGUGCAAAAGCACAAAAUACACUGCUUUGUGUAUUGCAUAGGGAAAAAAAGUUAUAAGGAACACGGAAACAGAAUGCUGCUUAUCUGGCUACAUGGUAUAUUGCUGGCUCAUCAGAAUCCUGUCAAGCAUAUCUAUGAGGAUCUGGUGGAAGCAGGAUUUCAGCCUUUAGCUGAGAAGAUCAGAGCUGCAAGUAGCUCUGAUAUGGACCCCAGAAAAUGUGCAAUUUCAUGAAUUCAUCAAAAAACCCAUGACACAGAUGAUGGAAUUACAUGCGAGAUGGAAAGUGACUUUCAAAUACAAAUAAUAACUUUUUGGGAAACAAAAAUCCGUUUUGAAAUUGUAGGACUUUUUCUAAGCUAGGAGAACAUGCAGAGCUAACCAAUGUUUCAGGACUUUCUCAUGUGCUUGCUAUACAAACAUUUAAGGAAUUUAAGAGUGAAUGGCUGGCUGGUAAUUUAUGACUAUACUGCUAAGCAAACACCACCCCCCUUCAAUUUCUACACCUGGCUCAACAUUGAUACACUAAUUCCAUAUUGGAACUGCAAAUUAAGCUAUUUUGUGUUUGACGUGAAACAUAAAUGAGAUGUUUUCUACCUGAAAGAAAUUAAAUUUACAAAGUGAACAUUAUGUGUAUAAACCAACACUUCCAGAAACAGGUUGGCACCUGGCCUCAUUUGGGAUUCAUGUUUUUAUAAAGUCUUGGUAAGGAUUAUAGUGUUCUUGUCUAAGCGGGUUUUUCUCUUGUUUAAUUAGUGCUGGGAUUAAGAAGUCUUUCUUCUUCGGUAUUUGAUUUAUGCAAUGAAAAUACACAAAAAUUUCAUGUCUAAACCCAUGUGUGGCUGGCAGCAGAAUUUUCCAUCAUGGUAUAACCUUGUAUAUAUACUCAAAAAAGAGUAUUUGAUACUUAAUACUUAAUACAUCUAGUAAUCAUUUACCUAUUUCUUGUUCAUGUCUUGAACUAAUAUUUGGUAGUGUCUUGUUGAAUGUGUUAAAGGGUUUUCUCAUUACUGAAUAUAUUUCAUAACUGAAUGAUGUAAACCUUCUAUCUUUGUAGCUUUCUCUAUAACAAAAUAGCAAUACUUUUUGUCAUGUAAAGGAAGAAUUGAAUUGCCUUGUCGCUCUCUCUAUAGCUAGCAUUAUUUUGUACUGAAUCUUAUUGUUUGUCCUAAAAAGAUGAUGAUCUCUGUCUUAGUCUGAA
This is an RNA transcript of Calidris pugnax (ruff), 2655 nucleotides long. It is a transcript of the gene named ankyrin repeat and death domain containing 1B, with no coding region annotated. The record is from RefSeq and is a predicted model, not a curated record. The transcript is spliced from 15 exons. Lineage: Eukaryota; Metazoa; Chordata; Aves; Charadriiformes; Scolopacidae.